UAAUUUGAAAUCACCAACCAC
Caenorhabditis elegans is the source of this 21-nucleotide non-coding RNA. The record is from Ensembl. NCBI's taxonomy places the organism in Eukaryota, Metazoa, Nematoda, Chromadorea, Rhabditida, Rhabditidae.